RNAcentral lists this ribosomal RNA (536 nucleotides) under uncultured bacterium. RNAcentral describes it as "bacterial SSU rRNA". It matches the Rfam family "Bacterial small subunit ribosomal RNA", at positions 996 to 1529 of the family's 1533-position model. The record is from RNAcentral.
GACUCUAGAGAUAGAGUCUUCCCCUUCGGGGGACAAAGUGACAGGUGGUGCAUGGUUGUCGUCAGCUCGUGUCGUGAGAUGUUGGGUUAAGUCCCGCAACGAGCGCAACCCUUAAGCUUAGUUGCCAGCAUUAAGUUGGGCACUCUAAGUUGACUGCCGGUGACAAACCGGAGGAAGGUGGGGAUGACGUCAAAUCAUCAUGCCCCUUAUGAUUUGGGCUACACACGUGCUACAAUGGACAAUACAAAGGGCAGCUAAACCGCGAGGUCAUGCAAAUCCCAUAAAGUUGUUCUCAGUUCGGAUUGUAGUCUGCAACUCGACUACAUGAAGCUGGAAUCGCUAGUAAUCGUAGAUCAGCAUGUUACGGUGAAUACGUUCCCGGGUCUUGUACACACCGCCCGUCACACCACGAGAGUCUGUAACACCCGAAGCCGGUGGAGUAACCAUUUACGGAGCUAACCGUCGAAGGUGGGACAAAUGAUUGGGGUGAAGUCGUAACAAGGUAGCCGUAUCGGAAGGUGCGGUUGGAUCACCUC